UGGCAGGCUCCCCGCAUGUAUGUGCGGCCAACUGUCAUGGGGCUGUUUUCUCAUUGUCCCUUCGUUUAUCCAUUUUGGUUCAACGGAGUGCCUGAAUUUGGUUGCCUGUGCGGUCAUACCUUCGUUGGUAUCACAUAUGUGUCCCGCUUUUUGGUUUUUCGCUUGCUCUUUAGAUGUAUGCAUCCACGAGCGGCCGAGGUGUUGGCAAAUUCCAUGCGCUGGAUGCACUGUGUGUGUCGGAACUGCUUAUUGGUUGUUUGCCGGGUCUCAGGAUAUCAGUUCCUACGUUGAGCGGUUGCGGGCUUCAAGCUGCAGGCUCAUGGUGUUUGCCCAUACAAUAAAUUUGUUGCUCAUGUUUCCUGGACAUGUUGUGCCCUUAUGGGAUUCAUGUCAGGGAUGUGACUCGGACAUGUUGUGUGUAUGUGCAUAUCCUUAUGACCCGAAUGAUAUGCGAUCCGGUCUCGUCAG
RNAcentral lists this unclassified non-coding RNA (468 nucleotides) under Cyperus proteus. RNAcentral's name for it is "partial contains ETS1f and partial 18S rRNA gene, ETS1f, and partial 18S rRNA gene". The record is from RNAcentral. Lineage: Eukaryota; Viridiplantae; Streptophyta; Magnoliopsida; Poales; Cyperaceae.